AGGCAAUACUGUUGCAUUGUGAAUAGGGAAGCUGGGACAUCGAGCACCAGAAUGGGUAGAGAUCUUCACCACAGUCUGAAGUCACAUGCAGUUGGCACUGAGAAUGAUCUGAGAACACAGAUGGUGAGGUGGAACUGGCUCAUUAUCUUCUAGCAGUUGAGUCUUGCAAGCCUGCCAGAUUCCUCUGUCCAUGGGAUUCUCCAG
Long non-coding RNA from Bubalus bubalis (water buffalo), 204 nucleotides. RefSeq lists it as uncharacterized. The record is from RefSeq and is a predicted model, not a curated record. NCBI's taxonomy places the organism in Eukaryota, Metazoa, Chordata, Mammalia, Artiodactyla, Bovidae. The transcript is spliced from 3 exons.